ACAAUUAUAAUAAAGUAUAAUUACAAAAUACUUAUAUAAUAUAUUUUCUAAUUAUAAUAAGAUAAAAGUAACUAUAUUUUUUAUUAAAAUAUAAAAAAUAGUAAAUUAUCAUAAGAAAUUAAUGUAAUUUUCAAAAUAUAAAUAUAAUUUAAAAUAUUAAAAAUAGAUUUAUUAAAUGAUUUAUUUUUAUAAUUUAUAAACGAUAUUUAGAAUUUUACUAUAUUAUAUAAAUAGUAGUA
This 239-nucleotide transfer RNA is filed under the name Pneumocystis jirovecii. RNAcentral describes it as "tRNA-Pseudo(TAT)". Lineage: Eukaryota; Fungi; Ascomycota; Pneumocystomycetes; Pneumocystales; Pneumocystaceae. The record is from RNAcentral.